This 425-nucleotide ribosomal RNA is filed under the name uncultured bacterium. Its description in RNAcentral is "partial 16S ribosomal RNA". It matches the Rfam family "Bacterial small subunit ribosomal RNA", at positions 354 to 796 of the family's 1533-position model. The record is from RNAcentral.
GUGGGGAAUAUUGGACAAUGGGCGAAAGCCUGAUCCAGCAAUGCCGCGUGAGUGAUGAAGGCCUUAGGGUUGUAAAGCUCUUUUACCCGGGAUGAUAAUGACAGUACCGGGAGAAUAAGCUCCGGCUAACUCCGUGCCAGCAGCCGCGGUAAUACGGAGGGAGCUAGCGUUGUUCGGAAUUACUGGGCGUAAAGCGCACGUAGGCGGCUUUGUAAGUUAGAGGUGAAAGCCUGGAGCUUAACUCCAGCACUGCCUUUAAGACUGCAUCGCUUGAAUCCAGGAGAGGUGAGUGGAAUUCCGAGUGUAGAGGUGAAAUUCGUAGAUAUUCGGAAGAACACCAGUGGCGAAGGCGGCUCACUGGACUGGUAUUGACGCUGAGGUGCGAAAGCGUGGGGAGCAAACAGGAUUAGAAACCCGUGUAGUCC